Molecule: non-coding RNA, 73 nt
Organism: Zalophus californianus (California sea lion)
Lineage: Eukaryota; Metazoa; Chordata; Mammalia; Carnivora; Otariidae
Source: the annotation of a RefSeq genome assembly
GCCUGGCUGGCUCAGUUGGUAGAGCAAGUGACUCUGGAUCUCGGGGUUGUAGGUUCGAAACCCACAUUGGGUA